CUCCCAACCAGCCUGCAAGUUGGGCAUGAUUGUCACCUCUUCGCAAAUAAAGAAACCGAGGCUCAGAAAUGGCCAGAGACACAGCUGUGGUCAGUGGCUUCCAGUCCUGGCUCUGUCUCCCGGGACCUGUGUGACCACGGACACUGAGGGCCUCCAAAUGGUACAAGCUUCAAGCCCCACCAAACCUGGAUCUGCCCGGAGGAGUAUUGUCUAAAUGGCAACUAUUUAGCAUAAGUGGUUAAAAGAAAUGGUCAAGGGCUAGAUCACACAGGAUUAGAAGCCUUACUGUGUGACUUUCGCCAAGUUGCUCCACCUCUCUGAGCCUCAAAUUCCUCAGUAUAAAAUGGAGGUAAUGGUGGAGAUGGUAGCACAACGUUUGAAUGUAAUUAACAGCACUGAAUUAUAUACUUGAAUGUGGUUUAAAUGAGAAAUUUUAGGUUGCAUAUAAGUUAUUACAAUAAAAAUUUUUAAAAAAU
This is a long non-coding RNA of Choloepus didactylus (southern two-toed sloth), 476 nucleotides long. RefSeq lists it as uncharacterized. Lineage: Eukaryota; Metazoa; Chordata; Mammalia; Pilosa; Megalonychidae. The record is from RefSeq and is a predicted model, not a curated record. The transcript has 3 exons.